This 425-nucleotide ribosomal RNA is filed under the name uncultured bacterium. Its description in RNAcentral is "partial 16S ribosomal RNA". It matches the Rfam family "Bacterial small subunit ribosomal RNA", at positions 354 to 796 of the family's 1533-position model. The record is from RNAcentral.
GUGGGGAAUAUUGGGCAAUGGGCGAAAGCCUGACCCAGCAACGCCGCGUGAAGGAAGAAGGUUUUCGGAUCGUAAACUUCUAUCCUUGGUGAAGAUAAUGACGGUAGCCAAGAAGGAAGUCCCGGCUAACUACGUGCCAGCAGCCGCGGUAAUACGUAGGGGGCAAGCGUUGUCCGGAAUGAUUGGGCGUAAAGGGCGCGUAGGCGGCGCGGUAAGUCUGAAGUAGAAGUCCUGCUUUUAAGGUGGGAAUUGCUUUGGAUACUGUCGGGCUUGAGUGCAGGCGAGGUAAGCGGAAUUCCCGGUGUAGCGGUGAAAUGCGUAGAGAUCGGGAGGAACACCAGUGGCGAAGGCGGCUUACUGGACUGUAACUGACGCUGAGGCGCGAAAGUGUGGGGAGCAAACAGGAUUAGAAACCCGGGUAGUCC